This 496-nucleotide ribosomal RNA is filed under the name uncultured bacterium. RNAcentral's name for it is "bacterial SSU rRNA". It matches the Rfam family "Bacterial small subunit ribosomal RNA", at positions 9 to 505 of the family's 1533-position model. The record is from RNAcentral.
GAGUUUGAUCCUGGCUCAGAACGAACGCUGGCGGCGUGCUUAACACAUGCAAGUCGAGUGCGCGUGCCGUAGCAAUACGGUAUGGCGCACGGCGCACGGGUGCGUAACACGUGGGCAAUCUGCCCUUCGAUGGGGAAUAACCUCGCGAAAGCGAGGCUAAUUCCGCAUAACAUUCCUUGGACUUCGGUUCGAGGACUCAAAGCCGUAAGGCGUCGAAGGAGGAGCCCGCGCACGAUUAGCUAGUUGGUAGGGUAACGGCCUACCAAGGCUUUGAUCGUUAGCUGGUCUGAGAGGAUGGCCAGCCACACUGGAACUGAGACACGGUCCAGACUCCUACGGGAGGCAGCAGUGGGGAAUCUUGCACAAUGGGCGAAAGCCUGAUGCAGCGACGCCGCGUGGGGGAUGAAGCAUUUCGGUGUGUAAACCCCUUUCGACCCGGACGAAUGCCUCGCAAGAGGAGUGACGGUACGGGUAUAAGAAGCCCCGGCUAACUACG